This 253-nucleotide ribosomal RNA is filed under the name uncultured bacterium. Its description in RNAcentral is "partial 16S ribosomal RNA". It matches the Rfam family "Bacterial small subunit ribosomal RNA", at positions 524 to 776 of the family's 1533-position model. The record is from RNAcentral.
UACGUAGGGUGCGAGCGUUAAUCGGAAUUACUGGGCGUAAAGCGUGCGCAGGCGGUUUGUUAAGACAGAUGUGAAAUCCCCGGGCUUAACCUGGGAACUGCGUUUGUUACUGGCAAGCUAGAGUGUGUCAGAGGGAGGUAGAAUUCCACGUGUAGCAGUGAAAUGCGUAGAUAUGUGGAGGAAUACCGAUGGCGAAGGCAGCCUCCUGGGAUAACACUGACGCUCAUGCACGAAAGCGUGGGGAGCAAACAGG